RNAcentral lists this long non-coding RNA (1444 nucleotides) under Marmota monax (woodchuck). Lineage: Eukaryota; Metazoa; Chordata; Mammalia; Rodentia; Sciuridae. The record is from RNAcentral.
ACACAAUUGUUAGUUGAGCAGCAAAUGUAAUCACCCUUCCUCUGAAGCACUGGGUCAGAUAGAGCCGGAAGGGCAAAGCAGGACCUGCCAUGGGCUGAAAAUGUCAAUGUAUUCACUCAACUUCUCUUUACAGACAGCUUUGGCCCAACACUGGCUAAAUGCCCCACUCUCUGCAUGGACAGCUGGUAUUGCUCAGAAGGGGUAACGAGAGAACAACUCUACAGAAAUGCCAAACCUUUAUAUAGGCUCUGAGAGACACUCGGAAAACUGGAAAGAGCACUAGACUUAGAUACAGAGGGCUUGGGUGUAAUUUCUUGCUCAAUGACUAAUGGGCUCAAUGACUUUAGUUUCCUGACCUGCUUGAAUCUCAGUGCCUUUCCCCAUCUGUAAAGAUUAGAUACCUGCUACCAUUCCUUCCAACUCCUGUGUUCCAUAAUUCCCCCACAAAUCCAUAAACUAAGUAGGUUAAGGUUCUUAUCAAUGGAGAGGAGUGUGGAAAGAGCAGGAAUUGACACAUUUGGCCUGUCUUGCAUAGUUAGUACCCACAGAAACGAAUUCUAACAGUGUACUCCCUGUUCCUGGCAACACUGUGGGUGACAAGAAAAGACCAAAUACAUUGGAUGAUCCCUAAAGAACCAAAAAGCAGCAAAGAGAAGUACCAAUCCAGGCAAGUAGUUGUCUUCGAUAAAAAAGUGCAACGGAAUGGAGACAUGCCCCUACACUGCACUUUCACUUCAGAUUCACAAUGUCACUGCAGAAGGAAACAAUCAACCCUGACAGGGAAACAAUAGCACUGGAAGACCAGGACUCUCCAGAGAAGGCUAAGGAGAGAGUGGAACGAAUACUCACUAACUGGCCUUUUGUUUGCCACAAUUUCUAUUAGUCAUGGAAAAAAACAGACAUGGUUGACAAGCGCCCAGAUAGGUUAUUGAGGAGGUAAAAGGUCACUGAGAGUCUCAGUGAGGAGAAACCUUAGGAACUGAUGCAUUUCUUGUACUUUGAGCACAAUGUUCAAAAUAACAUGCAGAGAAGCUUACCGAAUGUAUCAGAGCAGUGAAAACACAUCAGAGACUGCGUUCAAACUCAGUUUUUCUGCCUACCAGUAGCUUUUGCAGUGGGUGAGUUUUACUAAGCAAGUAAAAACACUCCUUGUGGCUGGAUGGACAGGAUGAAGUAGAUGAAAGGCAUUGAAAUGGACAGAGGAGUAAAGAAUCUGUCAAAAGAGUCAGCACCCUUGCCAUUGAAAAUCAGAAUGGAAGAUGGGUGACCCCAGCCUUAUAUCUUAUGGCAACUGUUCUACUGGCCAAGUGAGCAAGAAAACAUUCACUCUCUCUAGAUCUCAAUUUCCCCAGCUCUAAUAAACAAUUAGCAAGAUGAUCUCCAAAAUCUCCUCCCAUGACAAUAAUUUAUGUUCUGUAAUGGUAUGACUUCUCUCGAGUGCCCU